AAUGAACGCUGGCGGCAGGCCUAACACAUGCAAGUCGAACGAGUGGCGUACGGGUGAGUAAUGUCUGGGAAACUGCCUGAUGGCAGGGGAUAACUACUGGCAACGGUAGCUAAUACCGCAUACCAUCAGAUGUGCCCAGCUGGGAUUAGCUUGUUGUGGGGGUAACGGCUCACCAAGGCGACGAUCCCUAGCUGUUCUGAGAGGAUGACCAGCAACACUGGAACUGAGACACGGUCCAGACUCCUACGGGAGGCAGCAGUGGGAAAUAUGGCACAAUGGGCGCAAGCGUGAUGCAGCCAUGCCGCGUGUAUGAAGAAGGCCUUCGGGUUGUAAAGUACUUUCAGCGGGGAGGCGUUACCCGCAGAAGAAGCACCGGCUAACUCCGUGCCAGCAGCCGCGGUAAUUC
This 406-nucleotide ribosomal RNA is filed under the name uncultured bacterium. RNAcentral's name for it is "partial 16S ribosomal RNA". It matches the Rfam family "Bacterial small subunit ribosomal RNA", at positions 29 to 526 of the family's 1533-position model. The record is from RNAcentral.